Molecule: ribosomal RNA, 498 nt
Filed under: uncultured bacterium
Lineage: Bacteria
Description: partial 16S ribosomal RNA
Rfam family: Bacterial small subunit ribosomal RNA
Source: RNAcentral
ACGAACGCUGGCGGCGUGCUUAACACCUGCAAGUCGAACGGGCCUGUCUUCUUUUUUGGGGGUGGGUUGAGUGGCGAACGGGUGAGUAUCACGUGAGUAACCUGCCCUUCGGUCCUGGAUAACCGCUUGAAAGGGCGGCUAAUACGGGGUGGUCCGGUUGGUCCGCAUGGGCUGGUCGGGAUAGAUUCACUGUUUUUGGUGUUUCGGCGGGGGAUGGGCUCGCGGCCUAUCAGCUUGUUGGUGGGGUGAUGGCCUACCAAGGCGGUGACGGGUAGCCGGCCUGAGAGGGUGGGCGGCCACACUGGGACUGAGAUACGGCCCAGACUCCUGCGGGAGGCAGCAGUGGGGGGUAUUGCACAAUGGGCGGAAGCCUGAUGCAGCGACGUCGCGUGAGGGAUGGAGGCCUUCGGGUUGUGAACCUCUGUUUCCGGUGGUGAAGGCCCUGUCCGUGUGGUGGGGUUGACGGUAGCCGGGGAUGAAGCGCCGGCUAACUACGUG